GUGGGGAAUAUUGGACAAUGGGCGAAAGCCUGAUCCAGCCAUGCCGCGUGUGUGAAGAAGGUCUUCGGAUUGUAAAGCACUUUAAGUUGGGAGGAAGGGCAGUAAGUUAAUACCUUGCUGUUUUGACGUUACCGACAGAAUAAGCACCGGCUAACUUCGUGCCAGCAGCCGCGGUAAUACGAAGGGUGCAAGCGUUAAUCGGAAUUACUGGGCGUAAAGCGCGCGUAGGUGGUUUUGUAAGUUGGAGGUGAAAUCCCCGGGCUAAACCUGGGAACUGCCUCCAAAACUGCAUGACUAGAGUACGGUAGAGGGUAGUGGAAUUUCCUGUGUAGCGGUGAAAUGCGUAGAUAUAGGAAGGAACACCAGUGGCGAAGGCGACUACCUGGACUGAUACUGACACUGAGGUGCGAAAGCGUGGGGAGCAAACAGGAUUAGAAACCCUGGUAGUCC
Molecule: ribosomal RNA, 450 nt
Filed under: uncultured bacterium
Lineage: Bacteria
Description: bacterial SSU rRNA
Rfam family: Bacterial small subunit ribosomal RNA
Source: RNAcentral